This 737-nucleotide ribosomal RNA is filed under the name Salmonella enterica subsp. enterica serovar Enteritidis. Its description in RNAcentral is "partial 23S ribosomal RNA". It matches the Rfam family "Bacterial large subunit ribosomal RNA", at positions 711 to 1444 of the family's 2925-position model. The record is from RNAcentral. Lineage: Bacteria; Pseudomonadati; Pseudomonadota; Gammaproteobacteria; Enterobacterales; Enterobacteriaceae.
AGACCCGAAACCCGGUGAUCUAGCCAUGGGCAGGUUGAAGGUUGGGUAACACUAACUGGAGGACCGAACCGACUAAUGUUGAAAAAUUAGCGGAUGACCUGUGGCUGGGGGUGAAAGGCCAAUCAAACCGGGAGAUAGCUGGUUCUCCCCGAAAGCUAUUUAGGUAGCGCCUCGUGAAUUCAUCUCCGGGGGUAGAGCACUGUUUCGGCUAGGGGGCCAUCCCGGCUUACCAACCCGAUGCAAACUGCGAAUACCGGAGAAUGUUAUCACGGGAGACACACGGCGGGUGCUAACGUCCGUCGUGAAGAGGGAAACAACCCAGACCGCCAGCUAAGGUCCCAAAGUCAUGGUUAAGUGGGAAACGAUGUGGGAAGGCCCAGACAGCCAGGAUGUUGGCUUAGAAGCAGCCAUCAUUUAAAGAAAGCGUAAUAGCUCACUGGUCGAGUCGGCCUGCGCGGAAGAUGUAACGGGGCUAAACCAUGCACCGAAGCUGCGGCAGCGACGCUUAUGCGUUGUUGGGUAGGGGAGCGUUCUGUAAGCCUGCGAAGGUGGCCUGUGAGGGUUGCUGGAGGUAUCAGAAGUGCGAAUGCUGACAUAAGUAACGAUAAAGCGGGUGAAAAGCCCGCUCGCCGGAAGACCAAGGGUUCCUGUCCAACGUUAAUCGGGGCAGGGUGAGUCGACCCCUAAGGCGAGGCCGAAAGGCGUAGUCGAUGGGAAACGGGUUAAUAUUCCCGUAC